Long non-coding RNA from Carassius gibelio (silver crucian carp), 1929 nucleotides. RefSeq lists it as uncharacterized. The transcript is spliced from 8 exons. The record is from RefSeq and is a predicted model, not a curated record. Lineage: Eukaryota; Metazoa; Chordata; Actinopteri; Cypriniformes; Cyprinidae.
GAUAUCAACAAGUCCUCCAACUCAUACGACCGUAUGGGUCGUUUGUCACUAUCCAUAAAUACGACCCACACGAGCGUUCUCUAAAUUAGCGCCCCUAUUGGCAACAGGAGGUAUGAUAAAUGAACUUUCGCCUAAAUGCAUUGUGGGUUUAUUUUAACAUGUUUGCUAUUUGCGUUUUGAAUUGUUUGAUUUAAACUCUCCCAGAUGUUCGUGGAUUUUGAUGAUAUGGAUUUUAGAUGACUUCGAGACAUGUACAGUUUUGCAGUUUCUUCAUAUCACAUACAUCUCCAGCUCCUACAACAACAUUCAGUGUCCAGCAGCUCUUUAUGAUGCUCUCUCUCUCUCUCUCUCUCUCUCUUUCUCUCUCUCUCUCUCUCUCUCUCUCUCUCUCUCUCUCAUUUUCCUUUCCUAUUUUUCUGAACUGUAAUUCAUAAAUAAGUCACACAUAUUUUUCUUUCUUUCUCUUGUUCAUCAUGGCAUAUUUUCACAGCUCAGAAUCAGAUUUUGAUCAGUUCUUGUAUUAACAGGGAACUUGUACUCGAAGCUCAACUUGAAGAAGUUUCCAGUGAAGAUGAAGUCCUUCAAAGGUUCGACACAGCUGAAAAGGAAGACCAUGGGCCUGUCAAACCUUGUUUGUGGAGAGGGAUGAAUUUGACCAUCUUGUGUGUUUACGGAGAAGACCAAAAGCUGCUAAGGCAGAUAUUUCCAGAGGUACAAACAGAGCGGAUGGUUGCAUGAUGGCCUCUUUCAGGUUUGUCAACUGAAUGUCUACUAGUGUGGCUCAGCAAGUUCCUGUCAUGAUCAGCCCUCUCCAAGAAAGCUGAAGAGCAAAAACACAAAGAACAUCAGUCCUGUUGGGGAUGAGGAAUGAACAUGGCUCUAUUGUGCCCAAACAGAAAAGAGUGAAAAGUCCUAGAAUGAACAAAUCAUCAGGGCAUCAUUUCUGGAAUUUGGGCAGAAAAUGACUGAAUAUGAAAGACUGCAGUAGAAGGAAAGCUGGUACUGAGAACAUUUGUCUUCACUCCAGACUAAAGAGAAGCGGGUCUGAGGCCAGAGAUGGAGGAGUCAAUGGUCACCAAAUGCAGCGCUGCAGCCUGAAACUGUGAAGACUGAAUUCCCAAACAGCUGUGUGACUGCACAGAUGUUACGGCCAUAAAAGAAACUUCACAACUGAGAGCCCAUACCUCCAACAACCUUCAACAGAAAUCAAUGGACAUCUACGCAAGGUUUUUCUUUUGUUGAGGACCGUCAGAGACUCCAGCCACACGAGCCAUGGAUUGCUCUCAACAUCACCAUCAGACAGACAUUAUCACAGAACCAGCACCAGCAGACUGCAAAACAAGUUCCUUCAACAGGCAAUCAGACUGAACUGAACUCGUACCAGUAACACCACACACACACACACACACACACACACACAUACACACACCAGCAGCCUCAUACUGUGUGCACUGCACUCUAUCAGCUACACUGACUGGACUCUGACUCACUAUUAUUCUGCAACCUGAUAUUCUGUUUGCACUAAUUCAUACUGUACUGAAAGUGAAAGUGACGUGACAUACAGUCAAGUAUGGUGACCCAUACUCAGAAUUUGUGCUCUGCAUUUAACCCAUCCGAAGUGCACACACACAGAGCAGUGAACACACACACACUGUGAACACACACCCGGAGCAGUGGGCAGAGGUAUAUCUACAGUAUACAGUGAUUGUUGUUAAUUGUUUUCAUUUUGUUCUCUCUGUAUAGUAUAGUAUUGCACUAUAUUUUCUACCUGUAUUGAGCUCUUAUGUAUACGGUUUAUAUUUUUGAUACUGUGUAUGUGUUGCAAAUAUAUUCAGUACUUGUCAUGCUGCAGUUUGCAGAAAAGCAUUUUACCACCUGUAUACUUGCAUUCAUGGUAUUGUGAUAAUAAAAUGAUUUGAUUUGAAUUGG